AUAAUGACUCUCGGCAACGGAUAUCUAGGCUCUUGCAUCGAUGAAGAACGUAGCGAAAUGCGAUACUUGGUGUGAAUUGCAGAAUCCCGUGAACCAUCGAGUCUUUGAACGCAAGUUGCGCCCGAAGCCAUUAGGUUGAGGGCACGUCUGCCUGGGCGUCACAU
RNAcentral lists this ribosomal RNA (164 nucleotides) under Caragana arborescens. RNAcentral's name for it is "5.8S ribosomal RNA". It matches the Rfam family "5.8S ribosomal RNA". From Rfam's summary of the family: 5.8S ribosomal RNA (5.8S rRNA) is a component of the large subunit of the eukaryotic ribosome. It is transcribed by RNA polymerase I as part of the 45S precursor that also contains 18S and 28S rRNA. Lineage: Eukaryota; Viridiplantae; Streptophyta; Magnoliopsida; Fabales; Fabaceae. The record is from RNAcentral. RNAcentral also lists the same sequence under 49 other names.